This 517-nucleotide ribosomal RNA is filed under the name uncultured Acaulospora. RNAcentral describes it as "SSU rRNA". It matches the Rfam family "Eukaryotic small subunit ribosomal RNA", at positions 569 to 1085 of the family's 1831-position model. The record is from RNAcentral. Lineage: Eukaryota; Fungi; Glomeromycota; Glomeromycetes; Diversisporales; Acaulosporaceae.
AGCAGCCGCGGUAAUUCCAGCUCCAAUAGCGUAUAUUAAAGUUGUUGCAGUUAAAAAGCUCGUAGUUGAAUUUCGGAAUCUGUCCGUUGGUCGGGCUUCACUGUCCGUACUGAUGUGAUGGGUUCUUACCUUCUGAAUAACCAUCAUGUCAUUAAUUUGGUGUGUUGGGGAAGCAGGACUAUUACCUUGAAAAAAUUAGAGUGCUCAAAGCAGGCUAGUGCCUGAAUACAUUAGCAUGGAAUAAUAAAAUAGGACGGCAUGGUUCUAUUUUGUUGGUUUCUAGGAUCACCGUAAUGAUUAAUAGGGAUAGUUGGGGGCAUUAGUAUUCAAUUGUCAGAGGUGAAAUUCUUGGAUUUAUUGAAGACUAACUUCUGCGAAAGCAUUUGCCAAGGAUGUUUUCAUUAAUCAAGAACGAAAGUUAGGGGAUCGAAGACGACCAGAUACCGUCGUAGUCUUAACCAUAAACUAUGCCGACUAGGGAUCGGACGAUGUUAAUUUUAUAAUGACUCGUUCGGCG